GAUGAACGCUGGCGGCGUGCUUAACACAUGCAAGUCGAACGGAAAGGCUCCUGCUUGCAGGGGUACUCGAGUGGCGAACGGGUGAGUAACACGUGGGUGAUCUGCCCUGCACUUCGGGAUAAGCCUGGGAAACUGGGUCUAAUACCGGAUAGGACGAUGGUUUGGAUGCCAUUGUGGAAAGUUUUUCGGUGUGGGAUGAGCUCGCGGCCUAUCAGCUUGUUGGUGGGGUAAUGGCCUACCAAGGCGUCGACGGGUAGCCGGCCUGAGAGGGUGUACGGCCACAUUGGGACUGAGAUACGGCCCAGACUCCUACGGGAGGCAGCAGUGGGGAAUAUUGCACAAUGGGCGCAAGCCUGAUGCAGCGACGCCGCGUGGGGGAUGACGGCCUUCGGGUUGUAAACUCCUUUCGCUAGGGACGAAGCGCAAGUAACGGUACCUGGAGAAGAAGCACCGGCUAACUACGUG
Molecule: ribosomal RNA, 465 nt
Filed under: uncultured bacterium
Lineage: Bacteria
Description: partial 16S ribosomal RNA
Rfam family: Bacterial small subunit ribosomal RNA
Source: RNAcentral